RNAcentral lists this ribosomal RNA (331 nucleotides) under uncultured eukaryote. Its description in RNAcentral is "partial 18S ribosomal RNA". It matches the Rfam family "Eukaryotic small subunit ribosomal RNA", at positions 1470 to 1796 of the family's 1831-position model. The record is from RNAcentral.
CCCUUAGAUGUUCUGGGCCGCACGCGCGCUACACUGACGAAGUCAGCGAGCAUGUCCUACGCCGACAGGUGCGGGGAAUCUUGUCAAACUUCGUCGUGAUGGGGAUUGAUUAUUGAAGUUCUUGAUCAUCAACGAGGAAUUCCUAGUAAGCGCAAGUCAGCAGCUUGCGUUGAUUACGUCCCUGCCCUUUGUACACACCGCCCGUCGCUACUACCGAUUGAAUGGUUUAGUGAGAUCUUCGGAUUGGCGCCACUGCGGCUCAGCAAUGGGCUCGGUGGAUGCCGAAAAGUUGAUCAAACUUGAUCAUUUAGAGGAAGUAAAAGUCGUAACA